This 70-nucleotide ribosomal RNA is filed under the name Devosia sp. 66-22. RNAcentral's name for it is "partial 16S ribosomal RNA". The stretch from base 9 to 70 matches the Rfam family "Bacterial small subunit ribosomal RNA", at positions 1 to 62 of the family's 1533-position model. The record is from RNAcentral. Lineage: Bacteria; Pseudomonadati; Pseudomonadota; Alphaproteobacteria; Hyphomicrobiales; Devosiaceae.
CAGAUAUCAAACUUGAGAGUUUGAUCCUGGCUCAGAACGAACGCUGGCGGCAGGCUUAACACAUGCAAGU